This 497-nucleotide ribosomal RNA is filed under the name uncultured bacterium. Its description in RNAcentral is "partial 16S ribosomal RNA". It matches the Rfam family "Bacterial small subunit ribosomal RNA", at positions 28 to 507 of the family's 1533-position model. The record is from RNAcentral.
GACGAACGCUGGCGGCGUGCCUAAUACAUGCAAGUUGAGCGAUGAAGAUUGGUGCUUGCACCAAUUUGAAGAGCAGCGAACGGGUGAGUAACGCGUGGGGAAUCUGCCUUUGAGCGGGGGACAACAUUUGGAAACGAAUGCUAAUACCGCAUAACAACUUUAAACAUAAGUUUUAAGUUUGAAAGAUGCAAUUGCAUCACUCAAAGAUGAUCCCGCGUUGUAUUAGCUAGUUGGUGAGGUAAAGGCUCACCAAGGCGAUGAUACAUAGCCGACCUGAGAGGGUGAUCGGCCACAUUGGGACUGAGACACGGCCCAAACUCCUACGGGAGGCAGCAGUAGGGAAUCUUCGGCAAUAGACGAAAGUCUGACCGAGCAACGCCGCGUGAGUGAAGAAGGGUUUCGGAUCGUAAAACUCGGUUGGUAGAGAAGAACGUUGGUGAGAGUGGAAAGCUCAUCAAGUGACGGUAACUACCCAGAAAGGGACGGCUAACUACGUG